Molecule: ribosomal RNA, 369 nt
Filed under: uncultured bacterium
Lineage: Bacteria
Description: bacterial SSU rRNA
Rfam family: Bacterial small subunit ribosomal RNA
Source: RNAcentral
GAUGAAUGCUGGCGGCGUGCCUAAUACAUGCAAGUCGAGCGGUAAGGCCCUUCGGGUACACGAGCGGCGGACGGGCUGAGUAACGCGUGGGAACAUGCCCCAAAGUGAGGGAUAACGCACCGAAAGGUGUGCUAAUACCGCAUAUGGUCUUCGGAUUAAAGGAUUAUCCGCUUUGGGAGUGGCCCGCGUACGAUUAGAUUGUUGGUGAGGUAACGGCUCACCAAGUCGACGAUCGUUAACUGGUCUGAGAGGAUGAUCAGUCAGACUGGAACUGAGACACGGUCCAGACUCCUACGGGAGGCGAGCAGUAAGGAAUCUUCCACAAUGGGCGAAAGACCUGAUGGAGCAACGCCGCGUGCAGGAUGAAGG